GACGAACGCUGGCGGCGUGCCUAAUACAUGCAAGUUGAGCGCUGAAGGUUGGUACUUGUACCCACUGGAUGAGCAGCGAACGGGUGAGUAACGCGUGGGGAAUCUGCCUUUGAGCGGGGGACAACAUUUGGAAACGAAUGCUAAUACCGCAUAAAAACUUUAAACACAAGUUUUAAGUUUGAAAGAUGCAAUUGCAUCACUCAAAGAUGACCCCGCGUUGUAUUAGCUAGUUGGUGAGGUAAAGGCUCACCAAGGCGAUGAUACAUAGCCGACCUGAGAGGGUGAUCGGCCACAUUGGGACUGAGACACGGCCCAAACUCCUACGGGAGGCAGCAGUAGGGAAUCUUCGGCAAUGGACGAAAGUCUGACCGAGCAACGCCGCGUGAGUGAAGAAGGUUGUCGGAUCGUAAAACUCGGUUGGUAGAGAAGAACGUUGGUGAGAGUGGAAAGCUCAUCAAGUGACGGUAACUACCCAGAAAGGGACGGCUAACUACGUG
RNAcentral lists this ribosomal RNA (497 nucleotides) under uncultured bacterium. Its description in RNAcentral is "partial 16S ribosomal RNA". It matches the Rfam family "Bacterial small subunit ribosomal RNA", at positions 28 to 507 of the family's 1533-position model. The record is from RNAcentral.